RNAcentral lists this ribosomal RNA (700 nucleotides) under uncultured Gammaproteobacteria bacterium. RNAcentral's name for it is "bacterial SSU rRNA". It matches the Rfam family "Bacterial small subunit ribosomal RNA", at positions 172 to 866 of the family's 1533-position model. Lineage: Bacteria; Pseudomonadati; Pseudomonadota; Gammaproteobacteria. The record is from RNAcentral.
CAUAAUCUAUUCGUAGUAAAGUGGGGGACUUUUCGAGCCUCACGCUAUCAGAUGAGCCUGCGUAAGAUUAGCUAGUUGGUAGGGUAAAAGCCUACCAAGGCGACGAUCUUUAGCUGGUCUGAGAGGAUGAUCAGCCACAUCGGGACUGAGACCCGGCCCGAACUCCUACGGGAGGCAGCAGUGGGGAAUAUUGGACAAUGGGGGCAACCCUGAUCCAGCAAUACCGCGUGUGUGAAGAAGGCCUGAGGGUUGUAAAGCACUUUCAAUUGUGAAGAAAAGCUAGUGGUUAAUAGCCAUUAGCCUUGACAUUAACUUUAGAAGAAGCACCGGCUAACUCCGUGCCAGCAGCCGCGGUAAUACGGAGGGUGCAAGCGUUAAUCGGAAUUACUGGGCGUAAAGCGUGCGUAGGCGGUUUAUUAAGUCAGAUGUGAAAGCCCCGGGCUUAACCUGGGAACUGCAUUUGAAACUGGUCAACUAGAGUAUGGUAGAGGAAAGUGGAAUUUCUGGUGUAGCGGUGAAAUGCGUAGAUAUCAGAAGGAACAUCAAUGGCGAAGGCAACUUUCUGGACCAAUACUGACGCUGAGGUACGAAAGCGUGGGUAGCAAACAGGAUUAGAUACCCUGGUAGUCCACGCCGUAAACGAUGAUAACUAGCCGUUGGGGGGAUUUACCCCUUAGUGGCGAAGCUAACGCGUUAAGUU